This 345-nucleotide ribosomal RNA is filed under the name Triticum aestivum (bread wheat). Its description in RNAcentral is "partial small subunit ribosomal RNA". Lineage: Eukaryota; Viridiplantae; Streptophyta; Magnoliopsida; Poales; Poaceae. The record is from RNAcentral.
AUGUCACGGACAAGAAUUAACGUUGUUGAAUCUAAUGAAGAAUAUAUGAUGAAAGAACCGAUCGGACAUCAUAAUUCUGCAGAAAACGAUGUCGAAUCAUCCGAUGUCCAUGAAAGAACUACUAAUGAUAAAGAAGGUUUCACAAAUUGUGAUGACGCUGAUGCGGAUGAAACCGAAGAUGGUGAAAAUGCAAAAACAAAAGAGCGUAAGAAGAGGAAGCUGAAAUAUAUUUGGAACCUUCCAAAAGGGAAAAGGAUAAUGGUUCGCUGCAAUGACAUAGAUCAGCCAAUUGGAAAAGAGGAUAAACAUCUUGGGGAUUAUCUUGGCUCAGUUGCAAGGAAUUGA